GGGCAGGACAGGGCAGGAGGAGGAGGCGAUUCGAGGGGUGUCCAAGCUCUUGGUGUCCAGGGCAACUGAUUGCUGGGUCUCCCGGGACCAUCUCCUGAGACACCACGUGAGUAGUUGCUUCUUAGGAUACUCCAUCUCGGUGGAGGAAGGGAGAAGAGUCCACCUGCUGGCUCCCUUCUCCCGUUAGACACAGGGCCAUCUCAUUGGGGAGUGAACCUGGUGCUUCUUGGUGGCUUAUGUUUCAGCAACAACAAAGAAGUCCCGAGCCAGGAAGUGAAAGGAAGCAGCACAGAGGGCUCCGGGCAUGAACAAACCUGCUUCAACUUGUAAAGCAUGAAACCAGGGCGGCCAUUGCCACAGCCAAGAGUACCAGGGAUCGGGGAGGCUGAAAGGAUCUCACGGGCGCUUAAAAGUAAUUGUUUGUCUCAGUCUGUUCAGGCUUCUGUAAAAAAAAAAAAAAAAAAAAAAAAGAAUACCAUAUACCAGGAGGCCAAAACAGCUAAUAUUUAUUUCUCAUAGUUUUGGGGGCUGAAAGUCCAAGACCAAGGUGCUGGCAGAUUCAGUGUCUACGACAAGCCUGCUUCCUGGUAUAUAGAUGGCUGUCUUCUCACUGUGACCUCACGUGGCAGAAGGGGCAAGAGAGGUGUCUGAGGCCUCUUUUAUGAGGACAUCGAUCCACCCUCAUGACCUCACGACCUCCCCAAGGCCUCACUCCCUAGUACCGUCACCUUGGGAAUUAAGCGUCAACCUAUGACCUUUGAGGCACAAACAUUCAGCCCGUAACACUGUGACUGUCUCUUAAGAUCGAGCUUUACAUUUUUCUCAGGGACUGCGCUUCUGCCCCUCAUCCCAGUCUGCGGAUUCGGUUCCUGCCACUUUCUUUCAAACCUCCCUGGUGCUGACAGUUCCUGCCAAGACCCAUAACAUCGUCUGCCUUCCGGUGCAUCCUGCCCAUCGAGACCUGUCAAUACCCCCCAUCUCCAACCUAUUCCUGUGGGUGGACCUCUGUAAAGCCGGCCUGUUGAAGGUCAUGCCAGCCUCUUGCAAGACUCCCUCGCACCCCCGCCAGGCAGAUUCCAUCCCUCCCCUUCUUGUGUGCCACCAACAUCUGCUUGCUCCGGUGGCCGAGACCGCCACCAGGCAUGGCCUUCUGCUCUCCCCAACUGGGAACACACUGUCCCUUCACAUCUGAACCGAGGAGGAGACAAAAGCUAGAAAAAACCGGCUGACCCCAACCGGCAUCGCAAAUAGGCUAAGGUACCACCAAGGCGCCACUGACCCCUGAGUCCAGCUUUCUGCCCACAUGGUUGCUGAACCUGAC
This 1321-nucleotide long non-coding RNA is filed under the name Felis catus (domestic cat). Its description in RNAcentral is "lncRNA (ENSFCAG00000047282.1)". The record is from RNAcentral. Lineage: Eukaryota; Metazoa; Chordata; Mammalia; Carnivora; Felidae.